GAGGUGAGAUGGAUCACAGGCUCUCAAAAAUAGAUGGAGGUUGAAUAUCGAGUCGAAGUGGAGAUUGUUUAGAUUUGACACCUCAAGAUUUGAUUCACAUUGAGCCCACAGCGAGGUCCAGGUGACGAAUGAAGUCCAACGAACCCAAAAAUAGUCCAAACAGAGUCUAGACAGUGAAGAUACAUGCAAAAAAAAGGCUCGGACCAAAUGUCACAGUGCACGAGGUGACGACGGCCGGUGGCAGC
Molecule: long non-coding RNA, 245 nt
Filed under: Elaeis guineensis (African oil palm)
Lineage: Eukaryota; Viridiplantae; Streptophyta; Magnoliopsida; Arecales; Arecaceae
Description: long non-coding RNA (EGUI_LNC038685)
Source: RNAcentral